RNAcentral lists this ribosomal RNA (301 nucleotides) under uncultured bacterium. RNAcentral's name for it is "partial 16S ribosomal RNA". It matches the Rfam family "Bacterial small subunit ribosomal RNA", at positions 509 to 807 of the family's 1533-position model. The record is from RNAcentral.
CAGUCGCCGCGGUAACACGAAGGGGGCUAGCGUUGUUCGGAAUUACUGGGCGUAAAGCGCACGUAGGCGGACAUUUAAGUCAGGGGUGAAAUCCCGGGGCUCAACCCCGGAACUGCCUUUGAUACUGGGUGUCUAGAGUAUGGAAGAGGUGAGUGGAAUUCCGAGUGUAGAGGUGAAAUUCGUAGAUAUUCGGAGGAACACCAGUGGCGAAGGCGGCUCACUGGUCCAUUACUGACGCUGAGGUGCGAAAGCGUGGGGAGCAAACAGGAUUAGAUACCCCCGUAGUCCCUGUCUCUUAUAC